GGGUUGUGAGGUUAAGCGACUAAGCGUACACGGUGGAUGCCCUGGCAGUCAGAGGCGAUGAAGGACGUGCUAAUCUGCGAUAAGCGCCGGUAAGGUGAUAUGAACCGUUAUAACCGGCGAUUUCCGAAUGGGGAAACCCAGUGUGAUUCGUCACACUAUCAUUAACUGAAUCCAUAGGUUAAUGAGGCGAACCGGGGGAACUGAAACAUCUAAGUACCCCGAGGAAAAGAAAUCAACCGAGAUUCCCCCAGUAGCGGCGAGCGAACGGGGAGGAGCCCAGAGCCUGAAUCAGCAUGUGUGUUAGUGGAAGCGUCUGGAAAGGCGCGCGAUACAGGGUGACAGCCCCGUACACAAAAGCGCAUGUGCUGUGAGCUCGAUGAGUAGGGCGGGACACGUGGUAUCCUGUCUGAAUAUGGGGGGACCAUCCUCCAAGGCUAAAUACUCCUGACUGACCGAUAGUGAACCAGUACCGUGAGGGAAAGGCGAAAAGAACCCCGGCGAGGGGAGUGAAAAAGAACCUGAAACCGUGUACGUACAAGCAGUGGGAGCACCCUUUGGGGUGUGACUGCGUACCUUUUGUAUAAUGGGUCAGCGACUUAUAUUCUGUAGCAAGGUUAACCGUAUAGGGGAGCCGGAGGGAAACC
This 644-nucleotide ribosomal RNA is filed under the name Salmonella enterica subsp. enterica serovar Virchow. Its description in RNAcentral is "partial 23S ribosomal RNA". It matches the Rfam family "Bacterial large subunit ribosomal RNA", at positions 1 to 678 of the family's 2925-position model. Lineage: Bacteria; Pseudomonadati; Pseudomonadota; Gammaproteobacteria; Enterobacterales; Enterobacteriaceae. The record is from RNAcentral.